CAGGAACGCGGCCGGCAGCCGCAGGUGCUGCGAAGCCGCGGUUUCGGCGGGCACAAAGCCGGGACCCCGCGGGUGGGGGAUGCUCUGCGGCUCCGUUACACGGCGCUGCCCGAGCACGACGACCCGUGCCCGAGCUCCGGGGAGGGGAAAGGCGUCCGUCCCCGGUAGAAGGGUGUGAGCGCCUUCUGUGACCCCGAGGACAAGGGCCGAGCUCCGGGCAGGGACGGGGCGCGAGGCGCAGAACGGUCCCACGUUGCUGCUGAGGUUGGAUUUCCCGAGGAACAAUAAUAAUAAUAAUAAAAAAAAUAAAAGCUUCCCUGCCUCCAACCUGACAAAGUAAACAGGAUUAAUUCGCCAUGUGCAAAAACAUUAAUACCGUCCUCAGCGCGGAAAUCGGAAGGGAAAGCAGUUUUCGCAGCACCCACGAUAUUAACACACGAUCGUAGCAAUGCAAAGCCACUGAUACACGCUCACACACCGCCGUGCCACCGAUUGCUCGAGCAUUAAUGAAGAAUGCCCGGUAUUAACUAUUUGCUCUUCGAGGGAUGGAGCGGUGCAACUCUCCAUGAGCACCAUCCGCCGCUUUGCCAUUUGUUUGCGAGUGGGCUGAGGCAGAGCGGGCGAAGGGAAAAAUGAACUGCGGUUCAUUUUGCUAAAUCCUAUUUGAGACCCGAACGCCUCGCGAAGAAGGGGACAUUCUCCGCUGUCCUUCUCCGAGCCCCGUCACAAUAGAAAUGCUCUGUUUAGAAGUAAGGCUCUAUUGUUUUUAUUACAAAUAAAUAAGCGCAUCCCUCCUGCCAUUUUACUGCAGAUGUAAAUUUAUUGUAAUGAGAGGGAGUGGAAGGAUUUAUUUUGCUAAAAUAGAGUUGGGGAUAGAGCCGGUGUAAAUCUUGGGGUUUUUUAAACAAGGAGGAAGAGAGGGAAGCUGCUUGCCUGGCAGAAAGCUGCCUUGCAGCCCUCUAAUUCUUUCUAGAUUAAAUCGCAAUAUGAAUAGAGCAUCGAACAAAUACCGAGUUUCGCUCUGAACUCAGUGGAAAGCAGUUACGUCUAACAGAAUUCAAUGAAUUCCUCUUCUCCCUCAAUGUAGUAUGUGUGUGUUUUUCUCUUCCACCACACUGAAGUUCCAUGAAUAGGGAAAGUGGCUCCUAUUGUGUGCCUCUGAACUUCCAAGUCAAUGCAAUUUUUAACCACUGGCUUGUGGUACUUUGAAAAUCACCAGGGGCUGUCAGAGUUGGGUCCUCUGAAAAAUUUACAGUGCUAAAUCAGAGCAUAUGCUGUGAGAGAGGAAAAAAAAUUGCUUAAGAUUGGAGCAAGUACAGUAUCUGGCUGCCCCCUAGUAUCUGCGCCUUUUGCCGUAAUAAAGCAAGGAUAAAUAAUUGCCAUAAAGCCUCCGCCGCGCCGCCAACCACACCUUCGGAGGAGACGAACUACCACAAGACAGUGUGCAUAUGGGGACCAAAUAUGUGAAGACAGAGUUGAUGGAUCUGGAGCCCUGACUGCUGCCCGGCAAUGGCUCAACACGGACUGCUCUCAUCCUGGCUGCUCUUCAACAGUACUUUGAACUGCAUGAAGACCUAAGAACCAAGCCAACAGCAAGAGCAUGACCAAGAAUCUGAGAAUCAAGCCCGCACCAAGUGCGUGACCAAGUGUUUACUCCUCUUCCAGACCAUACCUGAAACAUGGCGUGAAGUUUCAUUCUCUUCUUCUGCAGGUUCCUGAUGCCAAAGGUCUGACCUUACAAUGAGCAGCACACGGGGUGAGAUUGGGCACUGCACUGAGCUUCACACACAGCUAUUUUGGUAACCAGAACUGUGUAGUCAGGAUAGUACAAGCACAAGCACAGUGAACGAUUUAUCAACAUAUUAACUCUAUCAGUGCUGUGUCCCUGGACAGGUUCCUGUGUCUAUUUCAGAUCAUAAACUCAGGCUUGAAGAAAUCUUUGUCUGCAGGAGAGGCUCAGCCUGGCUUACUGCCACACCACUGCCCUUGCUAAUCCACAUACUUCCAGCCCUGAUGCACUGGGACCACCACUGCUGGCCAAUUUCUAGCAAAAUCUUGUUGCCUAGAUCCUGCCAACAACCAGGGAACAAACGCAAGCCAGCAGAGAAAAUGAACGACCAGAAGUACCAGGAUCCUGCCAUCCUAUCCUCUGCUGUCAGGUUGGGGUCACAACUGCCAUUUGGAGAAGCUUCCAUGGAGAUGUGAACAGAAUAUGAAUACAAUUCUGUAAUUACUUCAAAAUCUUUGGGAAUGAUGGAAAUUCUGUUGAUUCCAGCCUCUGCUUUCCAUUAUGGAAGAUGUUUGUGCAACAGGUUUGCUGAAGAUGGAACACUACUGAAAUGGGUAAUUUUAUAAACGCAUUGGGGAGGGUAAGUAUCCAACAGAAAAGAAGUCAAGCAGAAGCAGAAAUUAGUCUGCUUGAAACAAACAAACUAAGGAAUGCCUGCUAAAGAGUCAUGAAUUUCUUUAGAACACUUUUUUUCCCUAAAUCACCUACAGAAACUCUGCAGCUGAAGAUGUUUUGAUAGCAGUUAUGAUCAGAACACCAGCACUUCUCAUACGUGAAAUACAACAUUGGGAAGGAUUUUUUCACUCCUCAAAUCACUCUUCUGAGGCUUUAUAUCAAUCUCAAGCAAUUUGCCUGGCCAUUUCUAUGAUAAAAUAGGUGUUUUUAUCCAUUUAGAAGAGCAAUAAAACUAAGGAAAAUUCAGGCAGAACAUGCUCUUUCUUUAAAGCUUCAACUCAUAGUAAGAAUCUGGUUUGUGCUGUACUUCUCUCAUGAACUCAACUUUCCAUAGUGCAUUAAGUGUUGUAAUAAUGCAAAUCAAAUACAAAUUUUAAUAACUCCUUCCAUUAAAAUGAUCUAUUAAAGUUUUAAGAGUCCAACACUUAUGAGCAUUAUUCUAAUUGCAUGAUUUUGCUCGGGGCAGGUUUUACAGAUCUGCCUGAUCAUUGGAUAUUUGCACAUUUAGGAUAAUUUUAAAUUAAUUUUUGGAAGAGUUUCAGUCUCAGUAGCAACAGUUGUUUAAUAGUUGUCUUGUGGGUAACUACGCAUCUGCUUCCACACGAGAAAGAAAACUACAUACAUUUAGAACUCUGGGAAAGGAGGUGGUGGAGGUUUAUAGAAUGACGAGCAAUAUGAAGAACAUUCUGAAGAUGUGUGCUCACUUUAGUGCAAGGAGCAAAAGAGGCUUAAGAAGUAAUAUACAUGUUAGGCAACACAGUCAAAUUGUGGUAUUCUCCCACAGAACACCAGCAGAUAUAAUCAUAUGAAGAAAAGCUUUAGAAUUCACUGAGUGCAGCUCCAUUGAUACCAUUCACCUUUCUCAUUUCAUGCAACUUGUAGGAUGGAUUUCUAACAGAAGGAUGUGCAGUGGAACUCGCACACACUGGCUUAGAAAGUGGGCAAUGCUUUGCAAAGCUUCCUAACAUGUUUAUGUUAACAGAAAUAAGUCAGAUCAGUGCUGAGGGACAAAGUUCGGUAAUUCCUCCUCAGAAUCCAUCCCAAACAAAACCACUGUGAGAUAUUACAUGAUAUAUAUGGUCUGUGUCUGAGGUCUUCCAUGAGAACUUUGUAUGGGAUAAUAAUGCCAAACAGGCAAAAAGGGUUGGAGAGAACAAAUCAGUUUUCAUGGGGCUUCCCAACUAAAAAGAAGUUAAAGAUAUUUCAAAAUAAUGUAAAGUGUCUCAGUAGAUACUAUUCUAAAUUAUCAUUGGCCUUGAAAUAUGCUUUGGUUUAAAAUUUUAAUUUCUAUACAAAAGCAAAAAAAAAAAAAAAAGAAAUAUUUUGAGAUUACUGAAGAAAAUAAUUUGGUGCUUAUUCUGUUCCUUUUAAAUGCAUUGGUUAGUCACAGAAUUAGUUGAAAAAAAAUGAAAUCUUAAGAACUCCCAAAGGAUAGGAUGAAGUAUUUCUCUGCUAGUUACAAAAUGAGAGAAAAAUCUUAUGUCACUUUCAUUAGUGCAUAGAUUUAGUGAAACACUCACAUUCUCAUAGAGGCACAUACUGGAACUCAGGGUUUGGGUUUCCUUCCAAGUGUGAUGCUUACACACGGUAAGUGAUAACUCUUUCUUUAUUAGACACUGUCAUCUACAUUUCUAGAGAAAUACCUGGAGGUGUUCCAGCCUCCACACGGGUGAUGGCCUUUUUUUCCUUAUGGAACAGAAUCCUAGAAUCCUUUGAAUUGGAAAGGGCCCUUAAAGGUCAUCUAGCCCAACUCACAUGCAAUGAACACGGACAUCUGCAACUCGAUCAGGGGGCCUUGAGCCCAGUCCAGCCUGACCCUGAGUGCCUUUGAGGACAGGGCAUCAUUUUUCCUACACCGCCACAAACAGGACAGGAAGUCUGAGCAGGGAAUUUCAGCCACUUUUAGUUCACAGGCUAACGUGUUAAAACAAAAAUGAUGAUUAACUCUUAAGUAAUUUAGAAGUGGGCUAUCCAAGGUGAAAGAGCCCUAGAUGCCAGGAAGGGUUAGGCUUUGGGCAGGGGACAAGGCAGCCAACACAGGGAUGUUGUGCACAGCCAUACUGUGCAAUGAUAAUGGUGCGGGGCAGGAACAUCCCAAGGUGUCUGCCCAAUUUGUCAGGAAUUUCUCCUCUGAACUAUUACCUCCAGAUCUCCCUAGAACACCCUCGGUCCUUUUAUCUCUUGAGCUAUCUCAGAGUUUACUGCCUGCCUAUCGCCUUGGCUGAACUACACUAAUAGUGAACUAAUUACAUAUGAACGCUCUAAUUUGCUUUAUGUCUUUCUCAAAAAACCACACGUGUGCAGGCAUGCACACAAGUAAACUUUUGCUCAUGCUAUAAAAUUGCAGCACGAUGUAGAAUCAGUGCAGCAGCCCCAACAUUACAAAACAUCACAUGCUCACUGCCCAUCUACUGCUUGUCCCUAUCAGGCCACCACCAGUGCUUGUCAUUCCUGAUCUGCGACAUCGCCUGCUGCUCCAGACCAGAAAAGGGAGCAAAGAAGAGAAAUACGUGUUUGUCAUUGAACUGAACUGAGAAGAAGGAAGACGAGAACGAUAAGAUCAUCGCCUGCAGCACUUUGUUUAUGAGAACAUCCUUCCAGUGAUAUAUGCCUGCACCAGGUGAAAGUAUUGUGUCACCCCUAACAUAUUUUAAAUGCCAGGGCUGUCAUGCAAGAAGACAAUGAUGAACAAGUUUAAACAGAAUAUGGUAUUGUAGCCAUGUGCAGUGUUACCUUUUAAAGGUUUGCAUCAGUAGCAUUUCUUAACAAAACAUUUACAAACUGUUACAUUCCCCUACAGAACCUCUUUCAUAUUCCCAAUGAAAUUACUUCUAUUGUAGAUGAAGUAUGCGUAACAUAAUACACAUAUUAAACAAAUCAGGCCACUUUCUCAUGCAAGUUUUUCAGCCUAUUUCAUGUGACCUCCCAGCCAUACUAUUUGAUCUUAACUCCUUGGAUAACAGUUUAGGGACUACACCUCACUUGGCAAAUACAUCUAUAAAGGGACAUCCACACUGCUCCAAGAGCAGGAGCCUGCCCCAGGUCAGAAGUUUGUUUGGUUGAGCUCUGGUGUGUGCCUAUGAAUUAGCUGCUGGAACUCCCAGACUGCAUUACCUAGUUUAAUUUCACACGAAAGGACUCACAUGCUGUGGAGCACAGAACGCAGGGUUAGCUGGAGAAUUCACUUAAAAUACACUCCUGUCCCAAAAAUGGAACACUACUUGAGAAACACCUCUUGCCAAAAAGCAGGUAUGCAUAGAACUAUCAGCAUAUGGCAGUUUUCUUCCCAGAUAAAUAUCUCAAACUUAACUGCAUGAACACCAUCACUGUGCUACAAGGCCAUUGCACAACAUGACUAUUUUCCCAGACUGACAGUUCAGAGAGUCUUGGGAACACCAGCAUCCAACACAUGAUUCUGAACACACACACACACACACCACCAUAUCCACCUUGGAUCCAGAUGAAAGAGCUUUCACCACCUAUGUCUCAUGGAAGGAAGGCAACCAUGACAUCAGUUUUCCAUCUUUGAGGUCAGAGCCAUCCUGUGAACACCCAGGACAUCUACAGGAGAGGAAAGGGCAUUCCUGAGUGCCUGAAAAAUGCCCACAGAGCUAGGAUUCCUUAAACACUGACUGAGGGGGUCCUGUGUGGACUUGCGUAACCUGUUCAACACCUCUCCAUCAGUUUUCUUUUCUGCAGAAUGGAGACACCUGAUUUUUUUACUCACAAGGUUAUUAGGAGGACUUUCCAAUUAAAGUUCUUUACAAAUGAAA
Long non-coding RNA from Lagopus leucura (white-tailed ptarmigan), 6237 nucleotides. RefSeq lists it as uncharacterized. The transcript is spliced from 7 exons. Lineage: Eukaryota; Metazoa; Chordata; Aves; Galliformes; Phasianidae. The record is from RefSeq and is a predicted model, not a curated record.